Long non-coding RNA from Chrysemys picta bellii (western painted turtle), 471 nucleotides. RefSeq lists it as uncharacterized. The record is from RefSeq and is a predicted model, not a curated record. Lineage: Eukaryota; Metazoa; Chordata; Testudines; Emydidae.
GGCCUCUCAGGGCCCUCCCGCUGAACGUGCACCUGCAGGCCAGGUGCGGGCUCCCCACCAGCAGCUGCGCUCGCUCGCUUCGCAGGGGCCAGUUCCGAGCCCCGUGGAAAAUGUGGCCUCUUCGUGAAUUAGAUGGGUACAUAAAACCUGAGAGAUCUAAAUGUGGCCCUUGAAUCUUUUAAAGUAUGAAGUAAGUCAUCAGUAGACUAACCAAACAACUUGAGACCAUCAAAAGGGAGGUCUUCAACAGUACUCUGCAACUCCGUGGGGAAGCUGGACAACUGAAACCAAGAUGGUCAUCACAUCACAAUUGCAGUGGAAAUGGAUCAGGCUGCAGUACUGGCCAAUCUAAGGAGGCCUGUAAUUAUGUUUUUGCUAAGAGUUGCUAAGAGUUGUCCUUCCUUUAUGAUGGCCUUAAAUUGCUUGUGGUGCUCCUCUGGCAAAUACUCAAUAAAGAUGUUGAAUUCAUUA